GAUGAACGCUGGCGGCGUGCCUAAUACAUGCAAGUCGAGCGAACAGACGAGGAGCUUGCUCCUCUGACGUUAGCGGCGGACGGGUGAGUAACACGUGGAUAACCUACCUAUAAGACUGGGAUAACUUCGGGAAACCGGAGCUAAUACCGGAUAAUAUAUUGAACCGCAUGGUUCAAUAGUGAAAGACGGUUUUGCUGUCACUAUAAGAGGGAUCCGCGCCGCAUUAGCUAGUUGGUAAGGUAACGGCUUACCAAGGCAACGAUGCGUAGCCGACCUGAGAGGGUGAUCGGCCACACUGGAACUGAGACACGGUCCAGACUCCUACGGGAGGCAGCAGUAGGGAAUCUUCCGCAAUGGGCGAAAGCCUGACGGAGCAACGCCGCGUGAGUGAUGAAGGUCUUCGGAUCGUAAAACUCUGUUAUUAGGGAAGGACAAAUGUGUAAGUAACUAUGCACGUCUUGACGGUACCUAAUCAGAAAGCCACGGCUAACUACGUG
This 497-nucleotide ribosomal RNA is filed under the name uncultured bacterium. Its description in RNAcentral is "partial 16S ribosomal RNA". It matches the Rfam family "Bacterial small subunit ribosomal RNA", at positions 28 to 507 of the family's 1533-position model. The record is from RNAcentral.